Molecule: ribosomal RNA, 136 nt
Filed under: Eleocharis geniculata
Lineage: Eukaryota; Viridiplantae; Streptophyta; Magnoliopsida; Poales; Cyperaceae
Description: 5.8S ribosomal RNA
Rfam family: 5.8S ribosomal RNA
About the family: 5.8S ribosomal RNA (5.8S rRNA) is a component of the large subunit of the eukaryotic ribosome. It is transcribed by RNA polymerase I as part of the 45S precursor that also contains 18S and 28S rRNA.
Source: RNAcentral
CCGGCAACGGAUAUCUCGGCUCUCGCAUCGAUGAAGAACGUAGCGAAAUGCGAUACAUGGUGUGAAUUGCAGAAUCCCGUGAACCAUCGAGUCUUUGAACGCAAGUUGCGCCCAAGGGACCAUCCCGAGGGCACGC